RNAcentral lists this ribosomal RNA (180 nucleotides) under Triticum aestivum (bread wheat). Its description in RNAcentral is "partial small subunit ribosomal RNA". The record is from RNAcentral. Lineage: Eukaryota; Viridiplantae; Streptophyta; Magnoliopsida; Poales; Poaceae.
AUGGGAUUCCCGGCAAGAUGGAGGGACUGGAUCGCGAUCUUGCUCACGUCCUCGUCCUCUGCCUGUCUGCUAAACGGCAUUGCAGGCCCCAACUUCUUGCAUCACAAAGGACUGCGGCAAGGCGAUCCUCUAUCGCCCAUGUUGUUCAUCUUGGCAAUCGAUCCACUGCAAAGAUUACUC